This 355-nucleotide transfer-messenger RNA is filed under the name Phycisphaerae. Its description in RNAcentral is "UTPLA1 sp003576905 Standard tmRNA". It matches the Rfam family "transfer-messenger RNA". From Rfam's summary of the family: Bacterial tmRNA, also known as 10Sa RNA or SsrA, is named for its dual tRNA and mRNA-like properties. Its role is to liberate the mRNA from a stalled ribosome. To accomplish this part of the tmRNA is used as a reading frame that ends in a translation stop signal. Lineage: Bacteria; Pseudomonadati; Planctomycetota. RNAcentral also lists the same sequence under 1 other name. The record is from RNAcentral.
GGGGGCGAUCUGGCUUCGACCGGGCAAGUUGAGGAGACGGUGGCGUGCCGAGGUUGUCAGGCGGCCUCGUAAAACACCUGGCAAAAACGUUACAUGCCAACCCUGAGUUGCGCAUGGCUGCCUAACUAGUGCAGCCCGUCAAACCGCCAACGCCUGCUAGGCGGGGCGACGGUGAUUAGCAGGCUGGCCGGUUCCCGCUGCUCGGCCGGGAGCCGGUGAGAAAACAGUCGGGCUGGACGCCGCCGGAGCCUGUCGACCGGCGCCGGCGGCGUUGACGACAAACGAUCGACUACGCACGUAGAGGCCGUUUCUGAAGUGCUUCGGGACGCGGGUUCGAUUCCCGCCGCCUCCAUUC